UAUUUUUCCCAACCGCUUAUGCUUACAUUUUUCUUAUUUUUAUCAGUUAAUAAUCCGUCUGCUCAUAUUGUCCAUUCCUUCUGCGUAACUUUGAUUUUUCCUAUAUGCAACUUAGCAAUAUUAGGGAUAUAAAAUUUGCUAUUCCUUCUACUUUAUUCGAGUGUUCACAACAAACUCACAUAUAAUUUUUUCACAAUGAUAGAAAUUCUGAGGGGAAAAAAAUAACUUUAUGAAAAAAAAAAAGGCCUUUGCUUAACACGCUAAAUUGGCUUUGAUAGACAUGAUCAUAGGCAACCAAAAAAAUUCCACAAAUCCAUGUCCGCCCGUCACCUGCUAAGCUACUUUACAUCAAUGUCACAACUUCGCAAGUGACAAGUUCGCAGCCCACGGGCGUAAACUCAUAGCAAAGGGGGAAAAAAUCAAGAAGAAAAGGGAGGGAACUAGCGACGACUCCCAAAAGAUACUGCUACUCGUCGUCGAGAUCCUCGUCUUCCUGAUCUUCAGCGAUCGUCUCCAAUUCCGUAUGUCUGAGAUUUCUGUCGCGAGCCGGGACGAGAAGAGCCGGUGCCGCCUCCAUCCACGGACUCGUCGAUACUCCGAUUCCCUUCACCAUGUCGCGGUCGUGGUUCUCGCCUCCGAUUCGAGAGCUCAAGCUUUGCUGGACUCGACUGAGUGAGCUCCGGUUGAAAUCGCAGGAAGAAGAAAGAGAGAAUUUCACAGCUCCUAUGAGACCGAAUCUCCAGUUGUCCCUCAGGAGCUCGGUGGUAGAGCCGUCGACCGUUAACUGAUCUGAGAGAGUGAGAGAGUGAGAGAGCGUUGGCUGGCUGGAGAAAAUAGGGGGGCGAGGGGUUUUUUAUAUGGACGGCAAGGAUGACCUUUUAAUUACUCCAAGAAAAACGUGGGGUUUAUCGCUACUUGGGGAAGCUUCGUCCUCCCUUCACUCUCGCGUGUUUGAAGGCCAAAGGCAAGUGGGGAACAAGGGACGUGUGAACGCGGGUAUUGGACUUUGAUCGGGCCCCAUUAAUUUAAAGGAAAAUCUCACUAAAGUGAUUCAUUUUUUUUUCCCGUGCACAACGUGGUACAAACUCUUUCUGUAAAACCAUUACCCCAAAUUUGUACUAGUGAUAUACUUUCCAUCAACGGUAGUUUUUUAGAUUAAUAUUGCGAAAAAUCACAAACUAGUACGCCUAUUACAAGCAUAAGGUAAAACUUCAAAUUAACACAUUUAUUAAUUAUCACGUAUCAUCCAAUUCAAUAAUUUAAUGAAAAUUAUUAUAAGGUAAAUUUAUUGUAAGUGUACUAGUUUAUGGAGUUUUAGGAAGUUAGAAAAUUAGUUCAGAGAAAAUUUGUUAAAGUCGAAACAUGUAUGCUAUCCCCAACUAACAAGCUUCUCAUGCCAUUUUUAAUGGACCGCCUCUUAGUUUCUUGACUCUUUACUCUUGAAUAUAGACGUUAGAAUCUCAGAUUUUCUAAUCCACAAGUUCCAAAAAGUGGCAAAUGAAGAGUGUACUUAGAAUCAUACCACUUUACCAAGCUAAUAACAAAAUUCUAAUCAAAAUAAGCCAUUCUGGGGGAGGAAGAAAAAGGACUUAGAAAGUCAUGAGUGUUAGAGAAAUCCCUUAUGAUGUUUUGAAGAUGACAAAAUAAAUCAAAGGCUACUAACAUGUUUGAUGGUUGAGUAAUAGACCAUGCAGAUAAUAGAACAUGUAAAGGAUAUUAUCAAAGUCUGAAGACUGCCAGACUCGAGACUCAAAGUCUGAAGACUGCCAGACUCAAGACUCAAAGUCUGAAGACUGCCAGACUUUAGUGUCAAAGUCUGUUCUACAUCAGAAGUCUGCUCACUCUGACAAAUUCCAGACUGAACGUGAAAGCUGAACCAGAAGACAGACUCUAUGCUGAAGCUGAACUGGGUAGAGACUCAUAUUGCAAAGUCUACAGACCCAGAUUGUAAAGUCUCAAGACUCAUAUCGUAAAGUCUAAAGACUCAGACUUUACAUCCAGAUUCAAUGAAUCGUAACUCAAGCCCAAUCAUACAACGGCUAGUGAUCUGGUUUGGAUUCCACAUCAAGAUUGAUUUGAUUGAAGACAAGAACUUUCUAUACGAAGAAGCUUUACUUAUGGAAACCAAGAUUUCGUUUGUAUGGGCGAUCGGAAUCAAUUUGGGAUUUUACCUUUGUCACUCAACGGCUACCAAAUCUUCUAAAUACAGAGCUGUCCAAUGGGUAUAUUGGAAGACGAUUCUCCGGGAUACUGUCCAACGGUAGUUUGGAAGUGGAGGAGUAUUUAAGGAGAUCAUGGACCGAUGAGCAAGUAAGAGACGGAGAGUAGAAUUUAUAAUUCCAAAGUCUAAGCGACUUUAGAUCAUAUACUUGUCUCUUGAGAGCUUAAACGUUUGUAAUCGUGAGAGAAAUACCAAGAGAGUGACUUAGUGAGAUAGUGUGAUCUACUACUAAGUGUUUGCACUCGGAGUUGUAAUCUCUUGUUGAUUGCAUAGUGGAAUCCAGCCAAGAAGGCUGUUAUCGUGGGAGAGUGGACGUAGGCUUGGAUUAAGCCGAACCACUAUAAAUCUCGUGUUCUUAUUCUCUUCCUUAACUCCUUUAUUUUGUUCAUACUAGCACUCUCAAUUGGUAUCAGAGCCAAGUGCUCGGUUUAUAAAAGUGUUUUUACUUUUGAGCUAAAGAUUCUUUAUGGCUAGUAUGUUGGCACCAGGUCUUAUGGAAGGGCAAAGCAACACAAGGCCACCAUAUUUCGAUGGAAGAAAAUACAAGCAGAAUGGCCAGAAAAGAACAAAAAAGAAGAAGAUGAUGAGCAAGAAAAUUUAUGCUUGAUGGAACAUUCAGAAUCUGAGUCUCACUCAGACAUAGACUCAGAAACAGAGUCUCAUUCAGAACCAGACUCAGAAUCCGAUGAGGAAAUUAAGGGGAGAAAUCAAAUCCAAAAGAAAAGGAAAAGAAUCGUGAUCAUCUCAAAAAGGCAACAAAUUGAGGGGGAGCUUUGAUCAAUUAUGGAAAAAUCUUUUUUGAUUGAUCGUGAUCUUAUUAUGGAUGGAAGGAAAGGUAAUUGUGUCAGAAUUUAUUCUACAAAAUCCGGUUAGUGCAUCUCUUAUUACCUUUUGUCAUUAACAAAUCUCAUAUUGAUAUUAUCAUGUUAUUAUGACAAAAAUGGUACGUGAAUUUUAUGAUGCAUCCGUGAUUUUUAUUGGAUAUUUAUUGAUAUGAUCGAAGUGAGCUAUAUUGCAUAUCUUUAAUAUUCGAUAAAAGCUGAUUUUUUGAAAUUGUGAUUCAUGCAAGAUAUUUGUUAUCAUUCUCUACGUGAAUCCAUUAUUAUCGCUUUUUGAUUAAGACAAAAAGGGGGAGAAGAUAUGAAUAUGCAUAUGUGCUGAUUGGUUGAUAUUAUUUAUUGCAUAAUAUUGAGCUGCGAUUAUUUUCUAAAUAUUAUUAUGCUCAAUCUAUUUGUUAUCUUCUGAUAUCCUUUGAUUUAAAUUAAUAAAAGCGUGUUUACAAAUCUGCAUAUUCAGAGAUUGUUUUGUCAUCAUCAAAAAGGGGGAGAUUGUUAGAGAAAUCCCUUAUGAUGUUUUGAAGAUGACAAAAUAAAUCAAAGGCUACUAACAUGUUUGAUGGUUGAGUAAUAGACCAUGCAGAUAAUAGAACAUGUAAAGGAUAUUAUCAAAGUCUGAAGACUGCCAGACUCGAGACUCAAAGUCUGAAGACUGCCAGACUCAAGACUCAAAGUCUGAAGACUGCCAGACUUUAGUGUCAAAGUCUGUUCUACAUCAGAAGUCUGCUCACUCUGACAAAUUCCAGACUGAACGUGAAAGCUGAACCAGAAGACAGACUCUAUGCUGAAGCUGAACUGGGUAGAGACUCAUAUUGCAAAGUCUACAGACCCAGAUUGUAAAGUCUCAAGACUCAUAUCGUAAAGUCUAAAGACUCAGACUUUACAUCCAGAUUCAAUGAAUCGUAACUCAAGCCCAAUCAUACAACGGCUAGUGAUCUGGUUUGGAUUCCACAUCAAGAUUGAUUUGAUUGAAGACAAGAACUUUCUAUACGAAGAAGCUUUACUUAUGGAAACCAAGAUUUCGUUUGUAUGGGCGAUCGGAAUCAAUUUGGGAUUUUACCUUUGUCACUCAACGGCUACCAAAUCUUCUAAAUACAGAGCUGUCCAAUGGGUAUAUUGGAAGACGAUUCUCCGGGAUACUGUCCAACGGUAGUUUGGAAGUGGAGGAGUAUUUAAGGAGAUCAUGGACCGAUGAGCAAGUAAGAGACGGAGAGUAGAAUUUAUAAUUCCAAAGUCUAAGCGACUUUAGAUCAUAUACUUGUCUCUUGAGAGCUUAAACGUUUGUAAUCGUGAGAGAAAUACCAAGAGAGUGACUUAGUGAGAUAGUGUGAUCUACUACUAAGUGUUUGCACUCGGAGUUGUAAUCUCUUGUUGAUUGCAUAGUGGAAUCCAGCCAAGAAGGCUGUUAUCGUGGGAGAGUGGACGUAGGCUUGGAUUAAGCCGAACCACUAUAAAUCUCGUGUUCUUAUUCUCUUCCUUAACUCCUUUAUUUUGUUCAUACUAGCACUCUCAAUGAGAGAUGUCACAAUAUGGAUUCAUUUAGGGAAGGCUAGUCUGCCCCUUCAAUACACAAUACAUUGCCCUAUAUAGGCAUGAGUUGCAUCGAACAUCACAAGGCAUCUAGAGGAUAAGUCCCUCUAAUGAUGCUACAGAUAAUAGAUAUGAAAGCCACAAAAUACGAAGGAUGGUUAAAGCAUUACAAACAAAGCACACUCCAUGCCAGGCUUGCUAAAGCAUGUGAUAAAGCAUAAAGCACCCUCCACACCUAGUACACUAGUAAAGCACACCAUUCUUAUUAUCGAAUUCCUCUUCAGUGCUGUCUACUAAACUAUCUAAGCUUUCUCUGUCUUUUGCUUUGCGAAAGGCGUGAAUAAGGCUGCCAAUCUUCCACUAUGACAAAAGCUGAUCAGCAGCAAGGUUGUUAGGGAUUCUUGAUGAAGAUGGACCAUCUAUUCUUCUUUUCUUAAAGGGAGAUGACUAGUCUGUCUAGGGUUGUGGCCAAUGAGACCAAUCUUCGAAAAUGGUGGAAGCCAACUAUAAAUCUAUGUUGAUGAAUUCAGAUGAGUGUGGGUCUUGGACUAGUGGCCCACCCCAUGGAUCUUGGGAGGACUAAGUGGGCACUUAAUCAUGGUCGGAACUAAGAUCCUCUCCAUGGUAUUCUCUUAAGGCUUGACAAAUUUGGUGGCUUAUUUCGGGGAAUUCUAGAUUAGUGUGUUGCUAGACUUUGCUACCUUCUUAGCCAAAUCUCUAGAGGAAUCACUCUGUUGUGUUGGUACAAAAUUCUCUGAAGUUCCUUAUAUUCCUAUGGGAUUUGUCUAAUUUUUGCUAAGAGGGUUUUGAAAAUAUCAUUUGUUCUUGGUUGAGGCUUGAAGUAAAGACACCAACCUUUGCCGGAGUCAGUUAAGAUCUCCACUUGGCCUAAGAAACAUCCAUGAUCUGUGAAAGAUGAUUAAAAUGCGAAGUUCUGGAUUUGGCUAGCAAACUUUCAAUUGUUCUUUAAAAACUAAUCUUUAGAUUCCUAAAAGGUUUAAACCAUCACCAUAAUCCUCCCAAAUGCACAAAAUCUGAUUGUCCUUGGAUAAUUAGGCUAAUGAUGAGAGGCAUUUUAGCUGUAGGAAAUUUGACAACAACUAUAUACAGAAUAAGCAUAUACCAAAUGAGCCAUUUAAGGUAUCCUUGAAAUGGGUCUAUGGGUGAGAUGGUAAAAGGAUACAUGAAUGGAUACUUAGGAUAUAAUCCCAAGGGUCUCAAACAUAAUCCACCAUAUCUGUUGAAGAUUCUUAGCUGAUAAACCAAUAGUAGAUUAAUUAAGUUUUCAAAGACAACAUUGCCUUAAAUGAGUUCUGAAAUUUUAGAAGGAUAUUUCCUACUUGGCCAUUUUGGCAACAUUGGUUGAGCUCAAAUUUGGUCACUAGCUACAUGAAAUUCAUUGGGGCUUGAUUUGGCCUGGAUAGAAAAUCUACAAGCACAUUCUUUUUUUUUUCUCCUGUAAUGCGUUUGGUUUCAAAAGAGUAUUUGAAAAACCAUUUUGACCAUCUCAAAUGCUAUGGGUGCAAAUUGUCUUUUGCUUGAAUUUCAACAUUUGGAGAAAAGAAGACAUGUCCAAUUCGACAAGAAAAUGGUGACUUAAGAGAUGGAAUUUGAAUUUCUUAAUCUCAUACUUAACAACCAAGAUUGCUUUGAACGUAGAAUAGUAAUGAAUUUUUGUUUGGGACAAUCUUCCACUUUCGUGUCCACAAAUUCUCCAAUGAGAUGGUGACGAAUAAGACUCCACGGACCAGAGACUAUGGUUAGUGAUGCUACUAGCUCUCCAAAUUUGGCUGUCGAUGUCACUUGUCCCGCCGACCCCGCUAACUCUCUAGAUUUUGACCGUCCAUGGCGGUCGGUGUCUCUUGCGAGCCCUACUCGUCCAUAGGUGGUGAUGCUACGGGCCCUCUAGAUCAGGCCAAUCAUGGUUGUCGGCAUCGCUCGUGGGCUUUGCUCGUCCAUGGCUUGUGGUGCUGCUAUCCAUGGUCGCGAGCCUUCGUCAUCCAAGGUUCACAAAAGGCAAAAGUAAAAAAAUAAAAAUAAAACAAAAUGGCGAAGUGACUUGUUUGAGAUCCAUCACCGAUGGAAGAAGAAUUCCGAAUAAAAUGCACGUCACCGUAUGAGUGGAUGCGAGGGAAAAAAAGGGGCUACCUUAGUUGUUGAUCUGGCACUAUGGAACCACUAACGAGAGUGUAGGCAAAAUUAGUGGAAUCGUACUUUUAUCCUUCUUGACAUUUUCAUCAUUGCUUGAGAGAACAAAAAUUAUAAGACAAAAUGCUAUUAGCCAAAUUUAAAUGUUGCAUUCCAACAUUCAUUCCACUUAUUUUCGCUUUCAAUAGAAGGCGAGGGGAAAAAAGAUAAGUAUCGGUAAAUAACCCACUUAUUUUCCCAUCUGCUUGUGUUUCUUUUUCUUAUUCUUAUCAGUAAAUAAUCCAUCUGCUCGUGUUGUCCAUUCCUUCUGGAGUAGUAGUAAGACUGUCAUGCCUUUGAUAUAAAAUUUGCUAUUCCUUCUACUUUAUUCGAGUCUUCACAACAAAUUCACAUGUAAUUUUUUCACAAUCAUAGAAGUUUUGAGGGAGAAAAAAUUACUUUAUGAAAAAAAAGGCCCUUGCUUAACACGAUAAAUUGGCUUUAAUAGACAUGAUCAUAGGCAACCAAACAAAAUCCCACAAAACCAUGUCCGCCCGUCACCGGCUAAACUACUUUACAUCAAUAUCACAACUUCGCAAGUGACAAGUUCGCAGUCCACGGGCUUAAACUCAAAGCAAAGGGGGAAAAAUCAAGAAGAAAAGGUAGCGAGCUAGCGACGACUCCCGCAAGCUACUGCUGGUCGUCGUCGAGAUCCUCGGCUUCCUGAUCUUCUGUGAUCGUCUCUAAUUCCGUAUGUGUGAAACUUCUGCUGCGAGCCGGGACAAGAAGAGCCGGCGCCGCCUCCAUCCAUGGACUCAUCGAUCCUUCGAUUCCCUUCGCCAUAUGUUGCGAUCGCGAUUCCCGGCUCCGCUUCGAGAGCCCAAGCUUUGCUCGACUCGACCGAGUGAGCUCCGGUUGAAAUCGCUAGAAGAAGAAGAGGAGGAGAAUUCCACAACUGCUCUGGGAGAGAUGGGGACUCUGUGAGAGAGACCGAAAUUGUUGGGUGUUGGAGAAAAUCGGGGGGAGAGCGGCGGUUUUUAAUACGGGGGGCGAGGACAACUUUUUGACUGCUCGAAGGAAAACGUGGGGUUUGUUGCUACUUGGGGAAGCUUCGUCCUCCCUUCACUUUCACAUGUUUGUAAGGCCAAAGGCACGUGGGGGAACAAGAGACGUGUGAACGCGGUCGGGCCCCAUUAAUUAAAAGCAAAAUCUCAUCAAAUUAAUUAAUUUUUUUCCCCGUGCAUGACGUUAUACCAAACUCUUUCCGGAAAACCAAUGCCCUAGAUUUGUACUAGUGACUUGAUUAUACUUUUUGUUAAUACUACUUUUUUCAGUUAAUAUUACAAACAAUUAUAAAAUGGUAUACUUAUUAUAUAUGUAGAAUAAAACUUCAAAACGGUAUACUCGUCAACCGUGACGUGUCAUGCAAUUUAACAAUUUGAUUAAUAGAUAGUGAAUUCGGCAUAAAUGUAAUAGAUUUGGAAGUUUUAGAGUGUCAAAAAAAUAGUUUAGAAUAAAUUUGUUAAAUGUGUAUUGAUUUGAGAUUUCUUAUGAUGUUAACUUUAGAUUUUUAAAUCUUCGAUGCAGCAGAGUGCAUGAACAACAAUGAAUCGAAUUUUCUACUGUCAUUACAGAUGAAAGUUCAAUAAAAUGUAUUUUUGGAUCAUUGGUACAAAUUAGGAUAUUAAUAAGACAAAAAAAAUUGAGGUAUUGGUGUCCACUGGAACAAGUUUGCGAAUUUUGGUGAAUUUUUUCUUAAUGCAAUUGAUUGGAAAAUGAUGUGGACCGUGAGGCCGCGCACUCACAAAAAUUCCUUCUUGUGCACUCAAGCCUCGAGCAACCCAACUAUUGCAUGUACUGGAUGCAUCGCCGAAACCUAGACAUCGGUAACAUCGAUUAUGGUAGGAUUCCUCUGUUUUACACGUAGGGCAACCACACUCAAUAAGGCAUAAUAAUACGGGGUGCAUGCAUUUGCUCUGUACAAUAACUUUUCCUAAACAAUAAUCGAACUAUCAGAUCGCAUGAGUUAGUACGUAGCGGCCAAUUUGAUUCGAGGACGCAUGCAUACACACCAAAGGACAUGCUAAACUUUGGAGGGAAUUUGGUUGGGAAUAUUUUUUAUUUUGUCCAUCCAUGGAAUACUUUCACUACCUAAAUUUCUGAUUAGUCAAUGAUGAAUAAAGACAUCACCCGAUUUUAAUUCUAGUUAAGCUUUGAUCUUCAUGUAUUGAAAGGUUCGAAAAACUUAUACAUGUUGAUUUCACAGACCAAUUUAAACAUAAUUAUUUUGCGAUUUUUAACUUUUAUUUAUUAUAUUUUUAAUUUGAGGGGACUGGAAAAGAAAAAUUACUUUAUUAGAACAAGAGGCCCUUCCUUAACACGAAAAGUCGGUUUUCAUUGAUAUGAUCGUAGACAACCAAAAAAAAUUCCACAAAUCCAUGCACAGCUUCCCAGUUCACGCGCUUAUGCACAGAGCAAAGGGAAAAAAAAGAAAAAAAAGAACAGGGAGUGGACCAGCCACAACUUCCCACCAAAAAAUAAGAGGAAAAAGAAGAAGAAAAUCUGCUAUUCAUCACCGAGAUCCUCAACUUCCUGAUCCUCUCUAAUCGUCUUCAAUUGAGGAUGUCUGCAACUUCUGUCACGAGCCGGCACGACCUCCAUCCACAGUCUCAAUCCUCCGAUUCCCUUGACUAUGUUGGUACUGCGAUUCCCGAUUUAGAUUCGAUAGAUUUGAUUUGGUGUGGUAAUGGCUUGAAGAAAACAUGGCAUUCGUCACGAUUUAUUUGACACAUUCGUUCGCAUUCAAAAUUUUAUGAACAGCUUGUACGUGUCACCAGUCAUGGACUAGUGGUGGUAGUGUCUAACGGCCAGGCUAGGCUGUGCUUAGACUCCAAUGUGGACGAGCAACCAUAGAAUCUUUGGAUGGCUUUGGAGAUCGAGAUAAGCGAGGCCAAAUCUAAAUGAGUGAUGAUGGAGCUGACCACGAGCCACGAGUCACGACGAAUGGGGUAGCAGGUUACCAUCCAUGUACGAACGAGAGUCACGUCUGUGGACGAGCGACCUCGCUAGUCUUGGACCAGCAAGUGUAGUUAGUGUACUAGCUCUCCAUAUUUGGCUGUUGAUGUCACUCCUCACUAACCGUGCUAGCUUUUUAGAUUUGGCCAUCCAUCGCCGUCGGUGUUAGGGGUGUGCAUGGUCCGGGCGGGCGGUUCCCGACCUAGAACCGGGAACCGCCUGCUAAGGACCGAUUCUGAAAAAUCGAAACCGGGAUCCAUCCGGGAACCGGACCGCUGGUCCGGUCCGGUUCCCGGGUGGAUCCAUGGAACCGAUUUUGACGCCAAAAAUUCUGGUUAUCAACAGCGAAACAAUUUUGGUUUCCCGGACCGCCGGUCCGGAAGUUUUGAGCUCUAAAAUUCCAAGUUUCAAUCUCCAAAAACUAAAACAAUAAUUAAUAGACGAAUAAUAGACGAAUUUCUUUUGCAUUAGUCCUCCCUCUCAAGCUCAUUAUCCACCAUGAAGCGUGCCUCUGCCUAACUUCCUCUCGAUGUUGCUGUGAAACUCCAACCAAGCGGUGUUUUCGUUGAAGCAAAGCUCCUUUCCACGCCAGAGAGCCGUUGGAGGGAGAAGCAAAUCAAUAGGGUACUACAAUUGCAAGUCUUUCAUUACUAUACAAGGCCGUAGACAAUUAAAUCACCUGCACAAAUGCGAAGGGGCGGACAGCAGUGGCAGAGGAGCAACAACGGCGGCGUUGAGGCUUAGGGAGGAAUCAAAGACGAAGGGACUGAGCGUCGGCGAGGGGGGCGGACAGCAGAGGCGGAGGAGCAGCGGUUGUGGCAACCGGCGCGAGGGGGCGGACAGUGGCCGAGGAGGAGCAGCGGCGGCGGCGUGGAUGCUUGGUGAGGAAUCGAAGAUGAGGAGAAGAGAUUGAGGAAGAAACAGAGAGAUAAUCAAAGACUGAGGAAGAAAUCGGAAGAGAAUCAAGAGAUGAGACGCAAAUUAGGACUUCGUACCUUGUUGAGUGACGGAAAAGGGGCUCGUCGGCUCGGUCGAGAGUUCUUGCAGAGGCGGAGGAGCAGCGGUUGUGGCGAGUGAUGACCGGCAUGAGGGGGCGGACAGUGGCGGAGGAGGAGCAGCGGCGGCGGCGUGGAUACUUGGGGUGGAACCGUGGAAUCGAAGACGAAGAGAAGGAAAGGAACAGAGAGAAUCGAAGGCUGAAGAAGAAGAAACACGAAUUAAGGCUUCGCGAAUUAGGGGCAGGGGGCUUCGCGACUUUUUUUUUUUUUUUUAAUUAUAAAUAGUACUGGUCCGGUUUGGGUGGGUGGGCGAGCGGGCGGAUCCGCCCACGGAAUCGGGAACCAGACCGGUUCCCACUGGUUCUCAACAAUUGGACCUGGGAACCGGACCAGUUCCCUUGAGAACCGCCGGUUCCGAGCGGUUCGGGUCCGGUUUCGGGCGAUUCCCCGGUCCAAUGCACACCCCUAGUCGGUGUCUCUUGCGAGCCUUACUCGUCCAUGGGCAGUGAUGCUACCGGCUCUCUAGAUCUGGCCAAUCAUGGAAUUUAAGAGUGGAUGUGAGGGGAAAAAAAAAGGGUGCUACCUUAGCCGUUGAUAUGGCACUUUAGAACCACUAACGAGAGUGUAGGCAAAAUGAGUGGAAUUGUACUUUUAGCCUUUUUGAAAUUUUCAUCAUUGCUUUUAAGAAAAAAAUUAUAAGACAAAAUGCUACUAGCCAAAUUUAAAAGGGUUGCAUUCCAAUAUUCAUUCUACUCAUUUUCGCUUUCAAUAGAAGGCGAGGGGAAAAAAGGAUAAUUAUCAGUAAAUAACCCUCUUAUUUUCCCAACCGCUUGUGUUUCUUUUUCUUAUUUUGAUCAAUUAAUAAUCCCUCUGCUCGUGUUGUCCAUUCCUUACGGAGUAUUAGCAAGACCGUCAUGACUUCGAUUUUUCCUAUAUGCAGCUUAGUAAUAUCAAGGAUAUAAAAUUUGCUAUUCCUGCUACUUUAUUCGAGCGUUCACAACAAAUUCACCUGUAAUUUUUUCACGAUUGUAGAAAUUUUUGGGGGAAAAAAUUACUUCAUGAAAAAAAAGGGCCUUGCUUAACACGAUAAAUUGGCUUUGAUAGACAUGAUCGUAGGCAACCAAACAAAAUUCCACAAAUCCAUGUCCGCCCGUCACUGGCUAAACUACUUUACAUCAAUGUCACGACUUCGCAAGUGACAAGUUCGCAGUCCACGGGCUUAAACUCAAAGCAAAGGGGAAAAAAAUCAAGAAGAAAAGGUAGCGAGCUAGCGACGACUCCCGAAAGAUACUGCUAGUCGUCGUCAAGAUCCUCGGCUUCCUGAUCUUCUGCGAUCGUCUCCAAUGCCGCAUAUUUGAAACUUCUGCCGCGAGCCGCGACGAGAAGAGCCGGUGCCGCCUCCAUCCACGGGCUCAUCGAUCCUCCGAUUCCCUUCGCCAUAUGUCGCGAUCGCGAUUCCCGACUCCGAUUCGAGAGCUCAAGCUCAAGCUUUGGUCGAAGAGUAAGCUCGACUGGGUGGGUUAGCUCCGGUUGAAAUCGCUGGAAGAAGAAGAAGAGAAUUCCACAACUGCUCGGAGAGAGAUGGAGACUUAGAGAGAGAGAGAGAGAAUGUUGGAUGGUUCGACAAAAUCGGGGGGCGAGAGGCGGUUUUUAUCAUGGAGAGCAAGGACAACUUUUUGUCGAUACUUGGGGAAGCUUCGUCCUCCCUUCACUUUCACGUGUUUGAAGGCCAAAGACACGUGGGGAACAAGAGACGUGUGAACGCGGGUGGACUGGGUGGGGCCCCAUUAAUUAAAAGGGAAAUCUCACCAAAGUAUGAUUAAUUUUUAAUUUUCCUGUGCACAACAUCAUACCAAACUCUUUCCGUAAAAUGAUCACCCCAUAUUUGUACUACUAACUCGAAUAUGCUUUUUGUUGAUUGUUACACUCCAAAUCUUAUAAGCUACGUUAAGUCAUCUGAAUUUUUAAACAUGAUAGAACUGAAUAGAGUAAAAUGAAAAAUAUAAAGAUUUCUUCAUAUCCUAUCAACUAUUAGGUAAACUACAGAUUUAAAGUCGGAUAUUUUCAUAUCUUAUUUUAUUGACUAUUUGGUAAAUUGCGAAUUUAAAAUCAAAUAUUUUCAUGAACAAUUAUAUUCUUGAAAAAAAAAAGAAUUAGGAAAGCACAAACUAACAUAUUAGAUGAUAGUAAAAUCAUCCAAAAUGGAUUUUUUUUUUUCAAAUCAACAUAUUCUCACAAAAUCAAUUCAUGAUUAUACAUCGUUUACCAAAUGCAUAAAGAAUCAAAAAGUGAUAUUGCGUAUGCUAAUAUGAGAUGAGUCAAUUAAGGCUAACAUGAGAGCAUUAGAAAUAUGAGUGGAUGACAAGUUGAACUGCGUCGUAGCAUAUUUGAUGGCGAAUAUUAAUGUGUGAUCUUUGCAAUAAGUUGCACAAAAAAAAAGGUAACAAAACGUGUGAGGUCGACUUUAAUAAUUGUGGUCAAUUUCCUAAAACAUGUGUAUAUCUACCCCUAUUGCAGACGGUUGUUAGUGGAGGAAGCAUGCGCAAAAGAUGACCAAAGGAAACCAUGCCCCCAAGCAUCAUGGUUAAAUGUGCAUUGCAUUGAUCAUAUAUUGCAUGCUUUUGGCAUGGCUAUUUUUCAUGCGCUUCUUUAUAUGAUUUUCUAAAGUCAUUUUAUAUUGUUUAAGUACUCUUUGGAUUGUGCUCUCGAGUUUUAAUUUCGAAGAGAUUUACAAGGCAUGAUAUUUCAAAUUUAUACAUGAAAAAUAUAUGUAACGUUUAGUAAAUUGCAUAAGGAAAAGUAAUUAAAAGUUUGACUUCAGUCAUGAGAUCUAAUUUUAAGAUUUUGUGGACGAAAAGUCUGUCCCGAAAUGUAGCAAAAGCACCACCAAAGCACUCUGUCAACAAACAUAUCGGGGAACAAUAAGUUAUUUAAUUGAAUUUGACCACCAUCGGAGACAAGCUUCGGCAUAAGAAUAUCAAUACACUUCCAAGUUCAAGAUGUUUGAUGUACCUAAAGGUUUGAAACAAGACUCACUAUGACAACAAAGGGAUCACACAAGAAAUAUAACACCUUUAAAAGAAAAACAUAUGAUUCCAAUAAGCAACAAAAAGAACAUUGUUCGAUAUUCCGAAUCCAUUGUGACUCAUCGCUCCAAGUCAUCACUCAUUCUCUUCUCUCAUCCCUUGGAGAAAUAGUUCCACAAGUGCCUACUUGCCAUCACCUUGAAAUCCCAAAAUAAGAUGAAUAUUUUGGGGAUCCUUAACAAUUUUUCUAUGUAAUUUUAUUCAAGUAUAGAUAUUUGAAGAAGCUCAUUGAUUUUUUUGCUAGUCAUUAUCCAAAUCCUUAGCAUAUGUAGCUAAUGAUCAUCUCCAUCCUCCCGUUAGCUUUUUUCAAAAACAAGCCAAAGUUUCCUACGAGCUCAACUAACUUAGCAAGCCAUCUUUAGCCCUUUUUAUUCUUGAAGAAUUAGAAACAUUGUGUGUUUGAGAAGAUGAUAGUGGCGGUAAAUUUUGACUUACACCAUUAGUUUCCACAUCAUCAUCAUUUUCACCUUGUUCAUGAUCUAUAGCUGCAUGAAAUUUUGAUGGGUUUUCACUGAGAUUUCCCUUGGUAUGAUCUUUUCCAAAUACAGUUGCUAGUCGAUCAUAUUGAGAAAACGAAACAAGUGUGUGAGAGAGAGAGAGAGAGAGAGAGAGAGAGAGAGAGAGAGAGAGAAGAAGUGACAAAACAGUGACAAAACUUGCAAUAUUUGUGCAACUAUCUUUUGAAUGAAUAUCAAUACAAUGCUUUUCACAAUCCUACCUAAAGCCACUUUGAUCCUUCAAAUCAUAUAUCCGAUUGUAUAACUUUUUUGAGUUUUUCAUCUUCAACUCUAUGAGGAUUAUCCUCGAUGCUAGAACUGGAGAACUUUUCUUCAAAUCACUUCUCUAAUAUUAUCAUGUCCUCACUCUUGAAGCUGUCAUUGGCUUUUAUUCCUCGUGCCACUAGUUCAUCAAGACCAUUUUGAAGUACAUUUUCUUCAUAUAUUGUCCAUACACGUCCGUUUCUCUCUGUUCCCUUUCCUUGAGUUUGAUUGAAAUCACUACCUUCCAUUCAUAAACAUCUCGUUUAAAUUUUAGAAAAUUUAAUGAUAAAGAAUAGAACGGUAGAGAAAAUAUAAUGAUAGAGACAACAUAGUACUAAAUAUUUGAAAUGGUGAAGCCAUAAAGCAAACACUAGCCAUGGAAAAUAUGUAUAAUAAUGAACCAACAACCUACAACAAGCAUAGAAGACAGAAUUUGAUGGUUUCAUCAUUUUGCAAUGGACAAUACGACCUAUAAAUUAUCUAUCUAAAAGAAAACAAGCUGGUGAAAUUGACCUAUUGCUAUAUUGUGAGGAGUUCUCAUUUAAUGUUUGAGGCUCAUGUUAGCAUCACGUUUGAAUCAAAAAGAAUAUUGAUGAAAGUGAUAUAGAGUUAUAAUGAACUACAUUUUUAAAAAGUUAGGAGUAAGGCCUACAAUGGCUUUUUUGUAAAGCUUCUUUAGGGUAGGCUAGGGGUUAACUUAUACCACAUGAACUCUUACUAGGAGUUGAUUUUGUACUUGUAAUCACAAAUAAAGACAGACAACUGUAGACUUAUCCUACUAGAUGGGAGUUGUACAUAUGUUGGUCUCCUAGAUGAUUCUACUAUGUUAAUAUUCAAGUCUAUCCCUAUGUAACUGAAGAGAGUAGGAGUGAAAGAGACCACUUUGCACCAUCUAUGUAUAUUUCUUCCAAAUCAUCAAGUGCAUCCCUUGUUAGAUGCCAUGCAAUUUUUCCCCUUGUUAUUUGUCUGCAUCCUAUUUACUAUUGUUAAUGAAAAAACAUGUUUUGCUCUCCUCGUAGUGCUUUAAGCUUGUAAUACUAUAUGUUCUUUGUAUAGUUGGCUUCUUCCUUUGAUUUGAUGGUGUAUACUUUAUGAUCCUCUUUAAUAAGUAGCCUCACUUGGACUUGAAAAGUAUGGUUAAAGGAAGUAUAUGUGCUGCCUCCAUCCACAGGCUCAUCAAUCCUCUAAUUUCCUUUGCCAUGUUGCGAUCGCAAUUCCCGACUCCUUUUCGAGAGCUAAAGUUUUGCUCAACUUGACUGAGUGAGUUCCAGUUGAAAUUGCUAGAAGAAGAAGAAGAAGAGAAUUCCACAACUACUCUGAGAGAGAUGAGGACUCUGCGUGAGAGAGAGGGACCUGUUGAGUGGCUGGAGAAAAUCGGGGGGCAAGAGGCGGUUUUUCAUAUGGAGGGCAAGGACAACUUUUUUAUUUUGACUUGGUUUCGCUGCUCGAAGAAAAAUGUGGGGUUUAUCAUCACUACUUGAGGAGGCUUCGUCUUCCCCUCACUUCCAUGCGCUUGAAGGCCAAAGGCACGUGGGGAACAUGAGACGUGUGAACGCGGACAUGGGACUUUGAUCGGGCCCCAUUAAUUUUAAAGGAAAAUCUCACCAAAGUAAUUUUUUUCUCCAGCACGCCGUCAUACGAAACUCUUUCCGUAAAACCAAUACACCACAUUUGUACUAGCGACUCAAAUAUACUUUCCGUCCAAUAUAGUUUUUUGGGUUAGUACUAAGAAAAUUCACAAACUAUAUGCCUAUUACAAAUAUAAACUAAAAUCUCAAACUGAUGCACUUGUUAAUUUAAUAAUUUAACUGUAAAAUUUAACGAAAACCAAUAUGUAAUAAAUUUAUCAUAGGUGUACCAGUUAAGGGAAUUUUGAGGGGUCAAAAAAUUAGUCUAAAGUAAAUUUGUUAAAAGGUUGAAACAUGUAUGUUGUCCCCAACUAAUAGGCACCACAUGCUAUUCUUCAAGGAACUGCCUCUUAGUUUCUCGACCAUUUACUCUUGAAUCUGGACCAUAAAGUCUCAGAUUUUCUAAUCCAUAAGUUUCACAAAGUAGCAAAUGAAGAGCAUACUUAGAACCAUAACAUCUAAUUGAGGUAAUAACAAAGUUCUAAUCAAAAGAAGCCAUUCUAAGGGAGGAAGAAAAAGCAUAUCUCUCAAUGCGGAUUUAUUUAGGGAAGGCUAGUUUGCCCCUUCAAUACACAAUAAAUUGCCUUAUAUAAGCAUGAAUUGCAUCGAACAUCACAAGGCGUCUAGAGGACAAGUCCCUCUAAUGAUGCUACAGACAAUAGAUACGAAAAUCACAAAGUAUGAAAGAUGCUUAAAGCACUAUAAACAAAGCACACUCCAUGUCAAACCUACUAAAGCACAUGGUAAAGCAUAAAGCACCCUCCACACCUAGUACAUUAGCACCCUCCACACCACCCUAUCUUAUUAUUGAAUCCCUCUUCAAUGUUGUCUGUCGAGUUAUUUGAGCUGUCUCCAUCUUUUGCUUUGUGAAAGGCGUAAAUAAGACUGUCAAUCUUCCACUGUGACAAAAACUAAUCAGUAGCAAUGUCGUCAAGGAUUCUUGAUGAAAGUGGACCAUAUGUUCUUUUUUUCUUAGAGGGAGAGGACUGGUUUGUCUAGGGCUAUGGUCAAUCAGAUCAAUCUUCGAAAGCGGUGGAAGCUAGCUACAAAUCUAUGGAGAUGAAUUCAGAUGGAUCUUUGGCUAGUGGCCCACCCUAUGGAUCUUGGGAGGAGGAAGCAAGUGCUUCAUCACGGUUGAAACUAAGAUCCUCUCCAUGGUAUUCCCUUAAGACUCGAUGAAUUUGGUGGCUUAUUUUAGGGAACUCUAGAUUAGUGUGUUGCCAAAUUCUGUUACCUUCUCGCCAAAUCUAUGGAGGAAUCACCCUGUUGUUUUGGCACAAAGUUCUUUAGAGUUCUUUAUAAUUCUGUGGGAUUUGUCUGAUUUUUGCUUAGAGGGUUUGAAAAUAUCAUUUAUUCCUGGUUGAGGCUUGAAAGUAAAGACACUGACCUUUGUUGGAGUCUAGUGAAGAUUUCCACUUAGCCUAAGAAAUAUCCACGACCUGCGAAAGAUGAUUAAAGUGUAAAGCUCUGGAUUUGGCUAGCAAACUUUAACUACAACCGAACUUGUUAAUUUUUGGAUUGAUUUUUAAUUUACAAGAUAGAUAAGUCGGAAUGGGUAACCCGCACCAAGAAAUGCAAGGGCAUAGAAGAAAGGACAAAUUCCCUCGUGGCCACAAUCGAAUACUCGAAAGUAGCAAAGUUAAAUGAAAUAAUUUAAAGUGCGGUCACAAUGAUUUUCAUAUUUAAAUUUUACUUAAUUUGAAAUUUUCGACGUGCAAAUUAUUGACUUUGUUUUAACCGAAAUGCUUGAUGCUUUUCUCAUAUUGAUGUUCACAACAAAUUUAUACGUAAUUUUUUUCAACAAUCAGAGAAAUUUUGAGGGGAGAAAAAUUACUUUAUGAAAAAAGAGGCCCUUGCUUAACACAACUUGGCUUUGAUAGACAUGAUCAGGCAACCAAAAAAAUUUCCACAAAUCCAUGUCCGUCCCCACGAGCUUAAAAGGGGGAAAAAUCAAGAAGAAAAGGGAGCGAACUAGCGACGACUCCCAAAAGAUAAUGCUAUUCGUCGUCGCCGAGAUCCUCAGCUUCCUGAUCUUCUGCGAUCGUCUCCAAUGCCGUACGUCUGACACUUCUGUGGAGAGCCGAUACGAGAAGAGCCGGCGCCGCCUCCAUCCACGGACUCAUCGAUCCUCCGAUUCCCUUCGCCAUAUGUCGCGAUCGCGGUUCCUGACUCCGAUUCGAGAGCUCAACCUUUGUCGACUCGACUGAGUGAGCUCCGGUUGAAAUCGCUGGAAGAAGAAGAAGAGAUGGAGACUCUGUUUAAGAGAUAGGGAUUGUUGCGUUGUUGGAAAAAAUCGGUGGGAAAGGGGCGGUUUUUUAUACGGAGGGCAAGGACAGCUUUUUGAUUUUGAUUUGGUUCUGUUGCUCGAAGGAAAACGUGGGGUUUGUCGCUACUUGGGGAAGCUUCCUUCACUUUCACGCGUUUGAAGGCCAAGGGCACGUGGGGAACAAGAGACGUGUGAACGCGGGUUUGGGACUUUGAUCGGGUCCCAUUAAUUAAAAGGAAAAUCUCACCAAAUUAAUUAACUUUUUUCCCUGUGCACAACGUCAUACCAAACUCUUUCCGUUAAGCCAUCACCCCAUAUUUAUACUACCGACUCGAAUAUACUUUCAGUCGAUAAUAGCUUUUUUAAUAUCCGAUGCGGCAGCAUGCGUGGAUGUCCGAUUUUUUAUGGCCAUUAGGGAUGAAAGUUCAACAUCAUGUAUUUUUGGGUCAUUGAUACGAAUUAGGAUAUUAGUGAGUUAAAAAAAUAAAAAUUGAAGCAUUGAUUUACACGAGAAAAGGCUUAAGAUUUUUGGUGAAUUUUUUCUUAAUUAAAUUAUGCAACUGAUUGGAUAAUGAUAUAGGCCGUGAAACGGCGCAUUCGCAAUGGUUCCUUCUUAUAAAAUCGAGUCUCCAGUGAUCCCAACUAUUACAUGUUUCAAAUGCAUUGUCGAAACCUACACAUUUGCAACAUUUAGUUCUGGUAGAAUUAAUCUGUUUUACAUGUUGGGCGACCAUACUCAAUGAAACAUAAUUAUAUGGGGUGAUGCAUUUAGUUUGUACAGUAUUUUUUUUGCAAUAAUAGUUGAAUUGUUAAAUCAUAUGAAUUAUUACAUAGCGGAUGGAAUUUGGUUUCGAACAUGUUUUCAUCCAACCGUAGGAUACUUUCCCUAACUAAAUUUUUGAUUAGUCAAUGAUUAAUAAAGACGUUAAGUUUUGAUGUAGUGUCCAUCAUGUCAAGUGUGGUGGAAGUGGCAUCAUCUGGUGGAGGGUGGAAGUGGCAUCAUUUGGUGGGAGGAGAGAGAGAUAUGGUAGCUGGGUCUCAGUAAACUUUUACUUUACAAUAGUUGAGUCUCAAUAAACUUUUACUUUAUAAUUUCUUCACGUAUUAAAAGAUUCGAAAUUUUUAUAUGUUGAUUUCGCACACCAAUUUAAAUAUGAUUAUUUCGUGAUUUUUAACUUUUUUUUGUUAUAUUUUUAAUUUUGAGGGGACCGGAAAAGAAAUAACUUUAUGAGAACGAUAGGCCUUUGCAUUAACACGAAAAGUUGGCUUUCAUUGACAUGAUCGUCGACAACAAAAAAAAUACAAAAUUGCACGAAUCCAUGCCACAGCUUCCCAGUUCACGCGCUUCCGCACAGAGCAAAGGGGGAAAGAAUUAAAAAGAAGAGGGAGUGAACUAGCCACAACUCCCAAAAAAAUAAAAGAAAAAAAAGAAAAUCUGCUAUUCAUCAUCAAGAUCCUCAACUUCCAGAUCCUCUGCAAUCGUCUCCAAUGGAGGAUGUCUGCAACUUCUGUCACAAGCCUGGACGAGAAGAGCCGGCGCGACCUCCAUCCAGGGACUCAAUCCUCCGAUUCCCUUGGCCAUUUCGGUACCGCGAUUCCCGAUUUGGACUCGAGAGCUUAAGAUUUGGUCGAAGGAAGAGCUCGACUGGGCAAGCUCCGGUUGUAAUCGCUGGAGAAAGAAAACCGCACGCUUCCUCUGCGAGAGAGAUGGAGACUUGGAGAGAGAUGGGGAGAGGGAGAGAAGGUUUUGUUGGGUGGUUGACUGGUUGGACAAACUUGAGGGGAGAGGCGGCUGUUUUUAUAAGGAGGGCAAAGGACGAGUGGGGAUUUCAUUUCGUUGGCUUUGGCUUGAAGAAAACGUGGCGUGUGUCGCUACUUAUUCGUGGAAGGUUCGUCCUCCUUUCCGGCCUUUCGACUGGCUGAAAAGGCUGGAGCACGAGAGAAAGUCAGAGACAUGUGAACACGUAUUAAUUAUAUGUGACAAUGACAUAUAUCGUGUUUGAACUUUAGUCCAUAAAUUUUAUAUUUUAUGAAUUUUUAAUUUAUUUAAUGUGGCUUAUACUUAGAAUAAAAAAAAACUGAUAAUACAUAUUCGAUAUAGUUCAUGAACUAUAUAACUAUGUUUAAUGUAAUCCGUAUAUUAAUUCAUAUUUAUUAAUAGGCUAAAGUUUAGAAAUUAAAUUACAUAUUAGAGUAAAGUUUAUAAAUCAUUUAUGUCAUUUUUUCCUAAUUAUAUUACACAACCAAUUGAGGAUGACAUGGACCAUGACAUGGCGCACUCUUAACGUGAUCACAUAUGUCAUAUACACCUUCAGUACCUAAAAUUUUGACCCUAAAGUUCAGAAAUUAUUGGUGUCAUUUUUCCUAAUUAUAGCACGCAACCGAUUGAGGGCAACGAGGGCCAUGACGUGGCGCACUCUGAACGUCAUCACGUGUGUCAUAUGCAUCUUCGGAUCUUACAGAUCUGCGUCAUUUGACUCUGGUGAGGAUUCACCGGUUCACGUAGGCGACCACACUAAUAUUUUUCAAUUCGUAGUGCGUGCACCCAGUCGGGAAGGCGAUUUUUUGCCCCCAACAACCGACAAGCCCAUGGAAUCUUGUCUAGAGGCAUUCCAGAGGAAAUUUUCUCUAACCAAAGUUUAGAUUACUUGGUGAUACAACCCAAGCGUUACCCACUUCUAAUUUUGAUUAUAUUCGCACAUAGGUAAUAUCAAUAACUUAUAAUAUACUAUUUAGGGGGUAAUGGUAGGAGAAAAUUUCCUUCCACCGGGACAGAGGAAAGCAAUUUCUAUUUUUCAACACCAAAUUUCGAAUGGUAUGAUGGGUUUUGCAUAAAUCUUGAUAAUUUUAUACCUAGUCACAUACAUACAAAAACCUUAAUUUUGUGGCUUGACGGAGAGCUCCUCGCCAUUGACCCACUCAGACGAGUCUAGAGUUUUCAUGUUCUGUUGGUAAUCUGUGACGCCAGUAUCAUUUGGGGGCGUCAAAGCAUGCAGUGCAGAGCCCAUGAAACAUCACGGAAGUACAUUGCUAUUGUCGUGCUAAACCCUCAAUCGAAGAAGGAAAAGAGAGAUGUAAUAAAAGAGAAGAAAAGAGGGGGGGGGGGGGGGGGGCGGCGGGAGUGUGUUGCAGCAACGGAUACAUGCUGCUCCUCAAGUCAAAGAAUUAUUGUGGUGUAAAGCAAUUAAUAUAUUUUAGUUAUCUCACAAUUCAUUAGCCUAAAUUUUAAGUUAAUGUGAGUUUAAUUGGAUAUGUUGACAAGUUUCGACAUGGCUUCACUCUUGAUGAUCUACCAAGGUAUUAGCUUUCCAAUGCACAACUCCCAACAAGUGGUAUCAAUAUUGAUAGUAGAUUGAUAGGCCCCCAAAUGAAAAUUUAACUUGAGAUAUCUUGGAGCCAAAAGCCGCAGAGUAGAUUGGAGGGUUCUCAAUGGAAAUUCAAGUUGAAAUAUCUUGAUGUAGCACAAGUGAUAUUAGAGUUAAUGGUAGAUCAAGGCCCUCAAUGGAGAUUCAAAUUGAGCUAUCUUAAUAUAGAAUGAUACAUGAAUUAAGGGAAGCUCACCUAAUGUUAAGCUCACACAUGAGUAAGAAACUAUUGAGGUGCACGUAUUCUAACUAAAUCAUAACUCAUUGGUUUAAAUUUUUAAAAUAAAGAUGAAUUUAAUUGAAUAUAUUGACGGGUUUAGACAUAAACUCUCUUUAUGAUCUUUUGAAGUGGAGACAUCAAUUUUUAUUGCACAGCCUCAACAACAUGGCACAUAAACAAAUGCUAAAAAUUUCAUGCGAGUGUUCAUUUAACAGCGUUAAUCGUGCACAAAUUAUAUAUCUCAUUGAUUAAAAAAUUGUCACUUCACAUACCAUCAUUUUCCACACCUUUGAUUAACCCACUAUACUUUUCAUUACCCUUUAUGAUGACAAUGACAAGAUGGGUGUAAAGUACCGAAAAAAAUGCCUCUUUUAGGGCGCGCAUGUUUUUAUUUCUGUUCUUUUUCUGUUCCCGAAAACAAAAAUAAAAAAAAGUGUUUCUGUUCCGGGGAACAAUUUUUGAAUAAAAAAACGCGUUUGGUAAACUUGUUCCGGAAAUAAAAAAUGAACAGAAACACGUUUGGUAAAUUUUAUUCUUUUUUUUGUUUCUUUUAAUUUUUUAAUAUUUUUAUUUUAUUUUUCAUUUUUUCCUUUCUUUUUUAUUUUUUCUUUUUUCGGCCGGUCGCCGGCCUCCGGCGACUGGCCGACGGGGCCGGCAACCUCACCCAGCCACGACGAUGCUCAGCCUCACCGGAUCUGGGCAAGCCCGAGCUCGCCCAGCCAAGGCGAGGCUCCGGCGAGGUCGCCGACCCUUGACGGCGUCGCCGGCCCUCGACGGCCGGUCGCCGGCCAUGGCCGAGGCCGGCGACUGGAGAAAGAAAAAAGAAGAAAAAAAGAAGAAGAAAAGAAGAAGAGAAGAAGAAGAGAGAGAAGAAGAAACGUUUCUUCAAAAUUGUUUCUGGAACAAGAAGUAAGUUUUUUUUGUUUCUUUUUUUUGUUCUUUUUGUGUUCUGGGAACAAAAGAACAAAAAAACAAAAAAGUGUUCCAGAAACACUUUUUAGGAAUAAAAACAUGCAGGCCCUUAUAAUUUUGGAGGAUUAAGAAAUAUUCUUUGUGGCAUGCAGGUGUCAUUUCACUUAACAAGGAUAUUUUAAAGAUCUUACGAAAUUUAAAACUAAAACUUGAAAGUUCUUCUUCCUUUUAAUUUUCAAGCCAAGCGUUGUGUCCUCUCUUCGGCCUCCAUAUACCUGGGAAUUCAUAUUGGACUUUGCGAGCCUUUCGAAAUUUCAUCAAUUACUCGAUGAUGUUUCUCAAGGUGUUAGAUGGAGGUGAAAAGGAUAUGAAAAGGAUAUGGAUGGGGGUUUGUGAUUUUAUUCAUUUAAAUCCAUAUCAAUAUAUACAUAUCAAUUUAUAAUUGGUCUAUGCUGUGUUAGUUAUUAACGUGACGCUUGCAACCAAUGAAUACUUUUCUCGUCAUUGAUGUAUGUGUUUGCAAUGGCUAGGGCAAUUGGUGGAAAGAGACAUGAUCCCUAGACAAUUAGUCCAAUGUUUAUGCAAGUGUCCUCUUGACAAGUUGAUUCCUAAAAGAUACCUUUGAAAACUCUUUUCAAUCGUAUUUGUCUUAUUCCAAAAUGGUCACUUCGCAUAUCAUGUUUCACUCAUUUUCCACACGUUUUGAUAAAUGCACUUUCCUCCUCCAUUACCACUUACGAUGACAAUGACUAUGAUAAGAUGGGUGUAAGAGAUGUCUAUUGUAUAAUUUUUAAAAAAGAAUUUCAAAUAGACUUGAAAAUGGACAUGAGAGGAGUUUAAGGGUGUAAUUUGGAGAACCACUCCAUAGAUUGUUAGAUAAGGCUUAUCAGAAAAUGGACAGCUGCAAACAAUGGGCAUCUUCAAUUACCAUCAAAAUUUUCUGUGAACUCCAUGGGGUCUUGUUGAUAUGAGCUCCAAACUCAAAGCAAUUGUGUCCAUGUCGACACCCUCAAGAUAAUGUUGGAUCUCGGUCCCCUCUUAGAUGAGAAGUUCCAUCGUAGAAAUGGAUUAACCGAGAAAUAUCGGGCACCCAGGUGGCAUCAAUUUCGCAAAAUACUAGUCUAUUAAUAACUCUUUCUCUCUCCUCUCUCCUCUGUCCAUUACUUUUUCCUCCCUUUCCUUUCUCUCCCGCGCUUGCUUUUUACUCAUCUUCUUCUUCAUCCAUCAAUCUUCUCUAUUUAGCACUUGCUUUAUUUCUUUCCUCUUGCAUCCGCCAUGGCUAGAGCUUAAGCACAAGCCUGAGGCUCAUGGCUGCUUGGGCCAUGGAGCUCAACCUCGAACCCAAAGCUUGGGAUAGCCUUGGCUGCUCAAGUCUUGAGCUCAGUCUCCAACUAGUGGCAAUGGCCAAUUGAGCUUUGAGCUCAUCGCGAUGGUGGCCGAGCCUUGAUAUCCUUGUUGUAAUUAUGGUGGGUUAAUGAAUCAAUGGAUGUGAGCGAAACGAGAAGUGUUGUUUCUAUUCACAUAUCUCAUAUUAAUUCGUGUAUUUCUCGAGUUCAUAUAUUUCUUGGAUUCGUGUAUCUACUUAAUUCUUGAUUAAUGUAUCUUCUGGAUUUUUGUAUCUAUUUAAUUCAUGUAUCUACUAGAUUCUUGUAUCUAUUCAUUUCAUGAUUCAUGUACAGUUUCUGUACAUGAAUUCAAAAACUCUAUAAAUAAAUUUCUAAAUCUUCAUUUCGAUAAGAAGAAAAAGUCACCAACAAUUCCUCUCUUCAAGUUUUCUCUAAAUAAAUUUCUAAUACCAACAGAUUCGAGGUGUUAUAUCUUGGGAGGCGAAGUUUGUGAAGCUACUUAACACUGUUGGCAAGAAUUAAUCGUCUUAAGGAGAUUCGUUUAGCCAUAUCUCACCUGCAAUUCUUGUUUAUUUUGUUGUCACUUUUUCGAUAAAUUUUCUAGUUACAAUGAACAGUGUUGCAUAUCUUCCGCCAAUACAUGUCUUCUUCUCCACCUCCUAUUCUUUAUUUUCCAACACCCCCGUCCAUGGUCACUAGAUUAAGGCACUUGAGGACACGAAUCAGGACUUGAACCUAGAGCUUGAGGUCAAAGCAGCCAUGGUCCAUUCCUUAAGUUUGAUUGAAAUCACUACCUUCCAUUCCUAAACAUCUCAUUUAAAUUUUAGAAAAUUUAAUGAUAGAGAAUAGAAGAGUAAAGAAAAUAUAAUGAUAGGGACAACACAGUACUAAAUAUUUGAAAUGAUGAAGUCAUAAAGCAAACACUAGCCAUGGAAAAUAUGUCUCAAUAAUGAACCAACAACCUACAACAGGCAUAGAAGACAGAUUUUGAUGGUUUCAUCAUUUUACAAUGGACAAUGCAACCUAUAAAUGAUCUAUCUAGAAUAAAACAAAUUGGUGACAUCAACUUGUUGCUGUAUUAUGAGGAGUUCUCAUUUAAUGUAUGAGGCUCAUGUUAGCAUCCUGUCUGAAUCAAAAAGGAUAUUGAUGAAAGUGAUAUAGAGUUAUAAUGAAAUAUAGUUUUGAAAAGUUAGAAAUAAGACCUACAAAAGCUUCUUUAAGGCUGGUUGGGGGUUAACUUACACCACACGAACUCUUACUAGGAGCUGAUUUUGUACUUGUAAUCACAAAUAAUGACAGGCAACUGUAGACUUUAUCCUACUGGAUGGGAGUUGUACAUAUGUUGGUCUCCUAGAUGAUUCCACUAUGUUAAUAUUCAAGUCUAUUCCUAUGUAACUGAAGAGAGUAGGAGUGAAAGAGACCACUUUGCACCAUAUGUGUGUAUGUAUAUCUUACUAAUCAUCAAGUGCAUUUAUCCCUUGUUAGAUGCUAUGCAAUUUUUCCCCCUGUUAUUUGUCUGUUUACUGUUGUUAAUGAAAAAACAUGUUUUGCUCUCGUUGUACUCCUUUAAGCUAGUAAUAACAUAUGUUCUUUAUAUAGUUGGCUUCUUCCUUUGAUUUGAUGGACUGUACUUUAUGAUCCUCUUUAAUAAGUAGCCUCAUUUGGACUUGAAAAGUAUGGUUAAAAGAAGUAUAGGAGAGAGGGACUGUUGGGUGGCUAGAGAAAAUCGAGGGGCAAGAGGCGGUUUUUAUAUGGAGGGCAAGGACAACUUUUUGAUUUUGAUUUGGUUUUGUUGCUCGAAGAAAAAUGUCGGGUUUGUCGCUACCUGAGGAAGCAUCGUCCUCCCUUCACUUCCACGUGCUUGCAGGCCAAGAGCACGUGGGGAACAUGAGACGUGUGAACGCGGGUAUGAGACUUGAUCAGGCCCCAUUAAUUAAAAGGAAAAUCUCACCAAAGUAAUUUUUUUUCCCAAGCACAGCAUCAUAAGAGUUCCAAUACCCCAUGUUUGUACUAGCGACUCAAAUACACUUUACGUCAAAGAUAGUUUUCUGGGUUGAUACUAGGAAAAAUCACAAACUACACAUAUUAUAAAUAUAAAGUAAGACCUUAAACCGAUGCACUUGUUAUAUGUUAGGUAUAAUCCAAUUCUUUAACUGUAAAAUUUAACGGAAACCAAUAGAUAAUAGAUUUAUUAUAGGUGUACCAAUUAAGAGGGUUUUAAAGGGUCAAAAAAUUAGUCUAAAGUAAAUUUGUUAAGAGGUCGAAACAUGUAUGUUGUCCCCAACUAACAAGCACCACAUGCCAUUCUUCAAGGACUGCCUCUUAGUUUCUUGACCCUUUAUUCUUGAAGCUAGUUUUUAGAGUCUCAUAUUUUCUUAUCCACAAGUUCCACAAAGUAGCAAAUGAAGAGCAUACUUAGAACCAUACCAACUUAUCGAGGUAACAACAAAGUUCUAAUUAGAAGAAGCCAUUCUAGUGGAGGAAGAAAAAGCACUUAGAAAGCCAUGAGAGUUAUCACAAUAUUGAUUUAUUUAGGGAAGGCUAGUUUGCCCCUUCAAUACACAAUAAAUUGCCUUAUAUUGCAUGAGUUGCAUCGAACAUCACAAGGCAUCUAGAGGACAAGUCCCUUUCAUGAUGCUACAGACAAUAGAUAUGAAAGCCACAAAGUAUAAAAGAUGCUUAAAGCACUAUAAACAAAGCACACUCCAUGCCAAGCUUGCUAAAGCAAGUGGUAAAGCUUAAAGCACCCUCCACACCUAGUAAAUUAGUAAAGCACACCACCCUAUCGUAUUAUUGAAUCCCUCUUUAGUGUUGUUUGUCGAGCUAUUUGAGUUGUCUCCAUCUUUUGCUUUGCGAAAGGUGCAAAUAAGAAUGUCUAUCUUCCACUGCGACAAAAGCUGAUCAGCAGUAGGGUCGUCAAGGAUUCUUGAUGAAGAUGAACCAUAUGUUCUUCUUUUCUUAGAGGUGGAAGCUAGAUGUAAAUCUAUGGAGAUGAAUUCAAAUGAGUAGGGGUAUUGGGUUAGUGGCCCACCCUAUGGAUCUUGGGAGAAGGAAGUGAGUGUUUCAUCAUGAUCAGAACUAAGAUCCUCUCCAUGUUAUUCCCUUAAGGCCUGAUGAAUUUGGUGGCUUAUUUCAAAGAAUUUUAGAUUAGUGUGUUGCCAUAUUGGGUUACCUUCUUGCCAAGUCUAUGGAGGAAUCACCAUGUUGUGUUGGCACAAAAUUCUUUGAAGUUCUUUAUGAUUCUUUGGGAUUUGUCUAAUUUUUGUUGAGAGGGUUUUGAAAAUAUCAUUUGUUCUUGAUUGAGGCUUGAAAGUAAAGACGCCAUCCUUUGUUGGAGUCUAGUGAAGAUUUCCACUUGGCCUAAAAAUCAUCCACGACCCAGGAAAGAUGAUUAAAGUGUGAAGUUCUGUAUUUGGCUGGCAAAAUUUCGAUUGUUCUUUAAAAACUAUUCUCUAGAUUCCUAAAGGUUUAAACCAUGAUAGAAAUUCUCCUAAAUGUGCAAAAUCUGACUCCUUGGAUAAACUAGCCAAUGAUGAGAGGCAUUUUAGUUGUAGGAAAUUCAACAUCUAUUUAAUGUAGAAUAAGCAGAUACCAAAUAAGCCAUUUAAGGUUUUCAAGAAAUGGGUCUAUGGAUGAGAUGGUCAAAAGAUAUAAGAAUGGAUACUUAGGAUAUAGUUCCAAAUGUCUCAAACAUAAUCCAUUAUAUUUGUUUAAGAUUCUUAAUUGAUAAACUCAUAGUAGGUCAUUAAGUUUUCAAAGACAACAUUGCCUUGGCCAUUUUGGCAACAUUGGCUGAGCUCGAAUUUGGCCACUAGCUAUUGUACUUGCAUACAUGUUGAUGGAAUUCAUUAGGGCUUUUGAUUUGGCUUGAAUAGAAAAUCUGCAAGCACAUUCUUUUUUUCUCGCAAUGCAUUUGGUUUUAAAGGAAUAUUUGAAAAACCAUUAUGCUCAUUUUAGAAGUUGUGGGUGCGGAAUUGCCUUCUUGCUUUAAUUUCAUCUGGUUAAAGGAAGACAUGUCAAAUUUGAUAAGAAAAUGGUGAUCUAUGAGAUGAAAUUCGAAUUUCUUAAUCCCGUACUUAACAACCAAGAUUUCUUUGAACAUAGUUCCACUCUUGUGUCCAUAGAUUCUCCUCUUAACGUCAACUUGUUGUUCAAAAAGAAUAGCUCCCAAUAUUUGUCAUUAACAUUGGUACGAAUAAUUCUUUUUCCUUAAGAGGGAAUUUGAAGAGGAGGUAAAGAUUUUUACUUUUAUCUGAAUGACUAGACCAAGAAAAAAAUGGUAGGAUCUUAAGGGGGGGAGGCAAUUCAAAGUUGAAGUUAAAAAUAACUCCAAAAAAACUUUAACCACAACCGAACUUGUUAAUUUUUGGAUUUUUCUAAUUUACGGGAUAGAUUAGUCGGAAUGUGUUACCUGCACUAAUAAAUGCAAGGGCAUAGAAGAAAGGACAAAUUCCCCUGUGGCCACAAUUGGACACUCGAAAGCAGCGAAGUCAAAUGAAAUAAUUUAAAGUGUGCUCAUAAUGAUUUUCAUAUUUAAAUAUUACUUAAUUUGAAAUUUUCGACAUACAAAUUAUUGACUUUUUUCAUUCGAAAUGCUAGAAACGUUCCACAUAUUGAUGUUCACAUAUUUAAAUUUUACUUAAUUUGAAAUUUUCGACAUGCAAAUUAUUGACUUUUUUCAAUCGAAAUGCUAGAUGCGUUCCACAUAUCUCCAAAAAAAAAUUACGUAAUUUAUACGUAAUUUAUACGUAAUUUUUUUCACAAUCAGAGAAAUUUUGAGGGGGGAAAAUUACUUAAUGAAAAAAAUAGGCCCCUGCUUAACGCAACAGCUUGGCUUUGAUAGACAUGAUCAGGCAACCAAAAAAAAAAUUCCACAAAUCCAUGUCCGUCCCCACGAGCUUAAAAGGGGGGAAAAGUCAAGAAGAAAAGGGAGUGAACUAGCGACGAGUCCCAAAAGAUACUGCUAUUCAUCGUCGUAGAGAUCCUCAGCUUCCUGAUCUUCUGCGAUCGUCUCCAAUGUUAUACGUCUGAAACUUCUGUCGAGAGCUGGGACGAGAAGAGCCGGCGCCACCUCCAUCCACGGACUCAUCGAUCCUUCGAUUCCCUUCGCCAUGUCGCGACCGUGGUUCUCGACUCCGAUUCAAGAGCUCAAGCUUUGGUCGACUCGACUAAGUGAGCUUCGGUUGAAAUCGCUAGAAGAAGAAGAAGAGAAGAAUUCCACAACUGCUCUGGGAGAGAUGGAGACUCUGUGUGAGAGACUGAAAUUGUUGGGUGAUGGAGAAAAUCUGGGGGGUGAGCGGCGGAUUUUAAUAUGGAGGGCAAGGACAACUUUU
RNAcentral lists this long non-coding RNA (29644 nucleotides) under Eucalyptus grandis. RNAcentral describes it as "long non-coding RNA (EGRA_LNC006603)". The record is from RNAcentral. Lineage: Eukaryota; Viridiplantae; Streptophyta; Magnoliopsida; Myrtales; Myrtaceae.